RNAcentral lists this long non-coding RNA (1993 nucleotides) under Taeniopygia guttata (zebra finch). RNAcentral's name for it is "lncRNA (ENSTGUG00000027367.1)". The record is from RNAcentral. Lineage: Eukaryota; Metazoa; Chordata; Aves; Passeriformes; Estrildidae.
UUUUUUUUCUUUUUUUUUUAGUCAUCAUCAUCCGCCACUGCAUCAUUUUGCAAAGCUCCGUCUGGUGAACAUACCACAGGGAGACUUGGAACACGCUCACAUGCCAUUACCCUUAGGAAAAUGAAAAAUGAAGGAGAAAAUUAUCUUGUUUUGGAAACCUCAUUUGGUCUAAUUGCAGUUUAAAUAGACAUCCAGUAGCUAUGUGUGAAGACUGGCCUGUGAAAUAUACUGAGAUAGAAAAUUUUGUGGGGAGAUCCUGAUAUUAGCUUAAACGCUUCUACCCUUAGUUAGAACUUGUUUAUCUGAGCUGGUUUAAAGUCAUUGUAUACACUGAGAAACAAAGUUUCUGCAGGAGCUGCAACAUAUUGAGGCAUCUAUGUUAACUACCAGCCUAUGUUAAAUUCCACAGUCAAAGCCUGAACUCCAUAGAAAAAAUGAAGCCAGUUUUACAGUACAUAGCACAAACACUGAAAUCAGGAUAUCUACCAUAAUAAUUGCUUUCUUCUCUAAAAUCUUUGCAGAUGGUCUGAGUUCUGCUCUGCAAGUUCUACAGUGCUAGAUGAAGUAACUAGCUUUUUAACAUGUUGCAAAGUAGCACAAAUAUACCCUUACCCAGUGUUACUUAUAUAGCCAUAGCAACAGGGGGAUGGGAGAUUACUAAUUGGGAAAACAAAGUAUCCCACUACCUUUUCCUAUUCCAAGUAAUUUUCCAUCUUAUGAGUAAACCCAUUUCUGUUCAAAACAGCUUCAUUUGGCUUGUAUGUGGUUAAAUAUGGACUUUACACCCAGAGGAAAGGUAUAAGCAGUCAACUAAUUGUUUUAGGCUUCUAGAAUUGCAGACAGAAACAUGAGGUAAAAGAUAACAGUCAAGGACAAUAGCUUGUAUGCUUUCCCUUAUCUGAUCUUCUGGAUAAUUUAGAGGGGAUUAUGUGAGUUCUUUUCAUACAACCUGUGUAUGGGUUGUAAACUGGAUGCAUAUACUGAAUUUUAAAGACCCAGACUAACUGGUGCUUCAAGACUGUGUGUUCUCUCACAUUACCACACCCUCUAAGUAACAAAGUAAAACAUUUCAGCUUCCAAUCAACCUGACCCAGGAAUAGGUAUUUCCUUCAAACUCUCAAAGGUGGGCCUCUUAUCCUUAGAUACAUGUUUCUGAAGUUAAUUCAAUAAAAUUACAAAACCUAGAAAUUAGAAUUAUGAUGCUGAGUAAUGAUAGAUUAAUUUUCUGGGUCUUUCUAUGUAGCUUGACUCAUAGAAUAAAAAACUUCAGAUAUCAAAGCUAAAAUGGAUAGUGCCUUUUUUCUUCCAUUCUGAAUUGUCUCCUAGAUGUUAACUUUUGCAUAGCAGAUGCUCUCUAAAUACAUGUAUUUUAAAUAUAAGACAUCAAUCUCCGAAGCAUACAGUUGAAAACACAAUGGCUUUCUUAGAUAAAUACUCCUUUGGAAGCUACAUAGCAUCCAUAAAUAUUCUUAUUUCUUUUGGCAUAUUUUUUACUUUUUGAGGUUUAACUACUUUGAAAUUCCAGGUCCCCAGAUGGCUUCCACCAGUUCCCACCUCUCAGCAGAUCCUUUGUAAGAAGCAGGAAAUCUGUCCUUCACGCUUUGACAACAGGUCAUUGUCUCCUUCCAUUAAUUCAAUUCAUACUUAUUUAUUUAAUAUCUCGUUAAUGUUCAGGUCCUCUGGUUGCAUUUUGAUUGUUUUUACGGUGCCUGAGCAAUUUUAAUAGCAUAAAGGUAAAGAUGCUUGGAAGUUUUAUUCUAAGGCAGGAGGAGAACAAGUCCUCCUGCCCCACAUCCCAGUGAGUCUUCACCAGGCUCCAGAUACUCAGUCUUUCUUCUGCAAAGACUUUGUUCAUAGUGAUCUUGUCACUGCUGCUGACACCAAGUAAAUGUGUCCUUGACACCUACUCUGACCCUUUCCCCUUCCUCUGUCUGUCCUGCUCCUCUCUGUGGAUUGUCCUAGGACUUCCUUGCCUCCAGUUCCCUUUGCACUU